This 708-nucleotide ribosomal RNA is filed under the name Xylosma congesta. Its description in RNAcentral is "eukaryotic LSU rRNA". The stretch from base 278 to 433 matches the Rfam family "5.8S ribosomal RNA". Lineage: Eukaryota; Viridiplantae; Streptophyta; Magnoliopsida; Malpighiales; Salicaceae. The record is from RNAcentral.
AAAAUKUCGUAACAAGGUUUCCGUAGGUGAACCUGCGGAAGGAUCAUUGUCGAAACCUGCCUAGCAGAACGACCCGCGAACCCGUGGCAGAACACGCGGGGGCCGCGGGGGGCGCCCGCCCCUCGCCUCCCCGGGGCCGUGGCGGGACGCGCAUGCGCCCGACGCGGCUUCGCCAACUAACCCCGGCGCGAGAAGCGCCAAGGAACUAGAGUACGAAGAGCGCGUCCCCGACGCCUCGGGCGCUCGGGGUGCGUCUUCAUUUCGCGAUAAGCUAAACGACUCUCGGCAACGGAUAUCUCGGCUCUUGCAUCGAUGAAGAACGUAGCGAAAUGCGAUACUUGGUGUGAAUUGCAGAAUCCCGUGAACCAUCGAGUCUUUGAACGCAAGUUGCGCCCGAGGCCUCAUGGCCGAGGGCACGUCUGCCUGGGUGUCACGCAUCGUCGCCACCGAUCCCCUCGGGUCACGAGGGCGGGGGCGGAUAGUGGCCUCCCGUGCGCUCGCGCUCGCGGUUGGCCGAAAAUCGAGUCCCGGGCGACGGUCGCCACGACGAGCGGUGGUUGAGAGACCCUCGAAAGCGGUCGUGCGCGUGCCCCGUCGCCCUGAGGGACCUCCAGGACCCUCGAGCAUCGGCUUUUCUAGGAUGCUCUCGUUGCGACCCCAGGUCAGGCGGGACUACCCGCUGAGUUUAAGCAUAUCAAUAAGCGGAGG